This 485-nucleotide ribosomal RNA is filed under the name uncultured bacterium. Its description in RNAcentral is "partial 16S ribosomal RNA". It matches the Rfam family "Bacterial small subunit ribosomal RNA", at positions 28 to 523 of the family's 1533-position model. The record is from RNAcentral.
GACGAACGCUGGCGGCGUGCUUAACACAUGCAAGUCGAACGAUGAACCCGGAGCUUGCUCCGGCGGAUUAGCGGCGAACGGGUGAGGAACACGUGAAGAAUCUGCCCUCCACUUUGGGAUAACACAGGGAAACCUGUGCUAAUACCGAAUAUUGAAACAUAAGUAGCAUUACUGAGUUUUGAAAGAAUUUCGGUGGAGGAUGACUUCGCGGCCUAUCAGCUAGUUGGUGAGGUAAUGGCUCACCAAGGCAACGACGGGUAGCCGGCCUGAGAGGGCGACCGGCCACACUGGGACUGAGACACGGCCCAGACUCCUACGUGAGGCAGCAGUGGGGAAUAUUGGGCAAUGGAGGAAACUCUGACCCAGCGACGCCGCGUGCGGGAUGAAGGCCUUCGGGUUGUAAACCGCUUUCAGUAGGGAAGAAGCGAAAGUGACGGUACCUACAAAAGAAGCACCGGCUAACUAUGUGCCAGCCGCCGCCGUAA